Molecule: ribosomal RNA, 179 nt
Filed under: uncultured bacterium
Lineage: Bacteria
Description: partial 16S ribosomal RNA
Rfam family: Bacterial small subunit ribosomal RNA
Source: RNAcentral
GAAGCUGGAAUCGCUAGUAAUCGCGAAUCAGAAUGUCGCGGUGAAUACGUUCCCGGGUCUUGUACACACCGCCCGUCACACCAUGAGAGUUGGGGAUACCCGAAGCCUGUGAGCUAACUGUAAAGAGGCAGCAGUCGAAGGUAGAAUCAAUGAUUGGGGUGAAGUCGUAACAAGGUAAC